Non-coding RNA from Parasteatoda tepidariorum (common house spider), 364 nucleotides. NCBI's taxonomy places the organism in Eukaryota, Metazoa, Arthropoda, Arachnida, Araneae, Theridiidae. The record is from RefSeq and is a predicted model, not a curated record.
UUCUUAUUCAUCAUGGACAAAAAGUUAUAUUAACCCAGCUGGAUCCAUGGCGGUUAGCUGAUGCUGCAGCUGAUCUCUACGCCUUUGCAGCUGUUCUGUCUAGAUGUUCUCGGUCCUAUUGCUUAGGAAUGAAGAACUCUCAUCAAGAACUUAUACUGGCAGGCGCCUUUUGUCAUGAUAUAAUAGAUAAGCUGACAGAAAAUAUGGGCGCUAUUGUUUUAGGUGUAAAUGAAAACAAUGAAGCCAAUCAUUUAAAUAUUGGAUCAGAAAUUGUUGAUUGUAAAGGUUAUUUUGCAGAGCAUCCAUUAAAACAUAAUUUUUAGAUUAUAUGUGAUAGUUUUUAAUAAAAUUAAUCAAUUCCUCA